GAUGAACGCUGGCGGCGUGCCUAAUACAUACAAGUCGAGCGAACAGACGAGGAGCUUGCUCCUCUGACGUUAGCGGCGGACGGGUGAGUAACACGUGGAUAACCUACCUAUAAGACUGGGAUAACUUCGGGAAACCGGAGCUAAUACCGGAUAAUAUAUUGAACCGCAUGGUUCAAUAGUGAAAGACGGUUUUGCUGUCACUUAUAGAUGGAUCCGCGCCGCAUUAGCUAGUUGGUAAGGUAACGGCUUACCAAGGCAACGAUGCGUAGCCGACCUGAGAGGGUGAUCGGCCACACUGGAACUGAGACACGGUCCAGACUCCUACGGGAGGCAGCAGUAGGGAAUCUUCCGCAAUGGGCGAAAGCCUGACGGAGCAACGCCGCGUGAGUGAUGAAGGUCUUCGGAUCGUAAAACUCUGUUAUUAGGGAAGAACAAAUGUGUAAGUAACUAUGCACGUCUUGACGGUACCUAAUCAGAAAGCCACGGCUAACUACGU
RNAcentral lists this ribosomal RNA (496 nucleotides) under uncultured bacterium. Its description in RNAcentral is "partial 16S ribosomal RNA". It matches the Rfam family "Bacterial small subunit ribosomal RNA", at positions 28 to 506 of the family's 1533-position model. The record is from RNAcentral.